UGCUCCAGGCUACGCGGUGGUGCGAUGGUGCUGCUUCUGCCGGCCUGACCGGGAUGGCCAUUGUCUCCGGCACCUCGGUGCGGUGGUAGGCUGCGGCUAGCCUUGCUCCCCUCCUUGGGCUCCUUCGACUACGCCGUCUCCCUCGACUACAUCAUCGGUCAGAUUCUGUGGAUGAUUCUGCUUUAAGUCAAGAGAUGGCGGAUUAUCUUCAAGGACCAGAUGCAAGCAACCGUGGGCUGGUUCUGGGAGCAUGUAUCGCUGAUCCUGUCGAAGAACUUCUUGCUACAAAGUGGCUGAUGCGUGGGGAUUGCUUCCCCGGUACCCCUGUCGCUAUUCCUGAUGAUCACAUCCCUUCCUCUCCAGUGGCGAAGAAGCCAGCCAUGUAGGGGACCUGGACCACUCCCACUUUGACCCUGGAGGCUGCUGCCCUCAUCUCCCGAGUCUAAGAAAGCUCUCUCUUCUGCAUUGUUUAGAGCUUCUAAAGCACCAUCCUGGACAAAUGGUAGGAUAAAAUCAUUUCUACAUCAUAACUGCAGGAAUCAAUCUGUUGAUGAGGUAUGUGCUGAACAACUGGUUCAGUAAUUUUUUUCUGUAUUGAUAUUAUUCACCUACUUGUUACAGUUUUUUAUAAGUAAUGUUCAUCUACUUUUCUUUCCAUAGUGGUUUUUAACUUCUUAACCCAGUAUAGAUUUAGAUUCUCAUAGUUAUUCUAUUGGACUCAGUACCUGACAGUUUAUCGAUCUUAAUGGGGAUGAUUCUGGUGUGCACUUGUUAAAUUCAGUCUUUCUACACUUAAGCAUAUUACCACUUGUCACGUCCACUUGUCGGGUGGGCAGAGAAAGUUGCUGGCAGAGUGCAUAAAAUGAUAACAUUUGUAGCAAAGUCACUCUAAAUCAGGGAUGGGGGAUGACUAUGUUACAUUAAAUUAACUACACAAAAUUGUGGUUAGAAGGAUUUUUUUUUAACUUUAACUUUGCUUGCCUCUACUUGUAAGAUGAAUGAAUAGGGAACAUUGGAAACAUUUAGGGUCGAAAAAAGAAUAAUGUAUACCCUAAUUCUUGUUUCCCUUUUGUUUUACUAUACAUUCGUAAUUGUUUAAUCUGCUCCAUCCUCUUCCCAAUAAAUACAUUUUCCCUCAUUUUCCAGUUCUUCUAAUUCAUUGUAGAUUAUACUUUUUGAAUCCUCACACAAAUAUAUUGAUUGUUUGUUCUUGAUUCACGGGCUUGGAGAAUGGCCUAUUUCGUUUCCAUCUUAUGUUUUUUCCAUUCAAUAAUAUCAGAGCAUGGUAUGCAACUGCAGGCCUCCUAAAGAUGGCCCAAUGGGCCGUAGGGAUGUCUGUUUGAACAGAAUGCUCAGUAUUGAAUGCGAAAAACGUAUUCUCGCUGUUCUCCUUUAGUGUACAUCUUAGACUGAAAUUUUGUUCCAUAUUAGUCUAUAUUUUAACUUUGUAAUCAACAACACAGAAAACGAAGCAGUCCUACUCUCUCUAUUGGAUGUCAUUGAUUUUAAUGCAGCUUGGAUUGGUUGAAAGUAGUAGCAUUAUAUGACUUGCUAAUUGGUCUUAAAAUCUGUAGAAUGUAGACUAAAAGAGAUUGGAGGGAGUACAGUCCAUGUGGGGAUCAAUGUUUUAAUCAACAAUUCAUUUUUAUGCCUUUUCUAUGUUCAAUGCAUGCUUUCUGUCUACAUUGGUUUUGAUCUUAUAAAAUACGGGGAACAGUCAAUACAGGCUAUUGAUUGCAAUUGCGAGAAGAAGUAUCCGAAGGAUGGUUCCUUAUUGAAUAUAGUGGUGAGGUACCAGUUCAGACUGCUUACGUUACGUCCUCUAUUUUCCCCUCUUUUCGUCUCUUCGUGGUGAUCGUAUUAUGGGAUAGGGGGUGCAUGACUGCAUGUGUGGUGUUUCUCCCACCUACGUUGGGUGCAUGACUGCAUGUCCUAUUCCUGUAGGUGGUAGUGGUACUCUCCCACAUAGUGGGUGUCUGGUGUUGCUGAUACCAUGGCGCUGAUCCCACAGAAGUGUUUUCAUUUGUAGAUGUCUUGCUAAUACCCUGUUUUAAUAAACUUAUUUGUGUUAGCUUUAGCUGUUUGUAAUGUUUAGGUUCAUGUUGAGGCUCAUUUUUACCACAUAUUUGAUUCUAGCAAAUGGAAAAUGAUUCAAAACAAUCAAUCCUUUCAUGCUGCCAUCAUACCAAUCAAUCCUUUCGAGUCCUGGCUUUCGCAAUUUAUCCUAAAAUUAUUGUUGCCCCCUCGGAGUCCUUGUAUAGGCACGUAUAGGCCUGUUGAGCCUGCCUCUGACUCUACACGUGUUGUCAUGUCCUACUAAUUAUUAGAGUUUUUGGAGAAGACUCCCAACAAAAUCGAUGAAUUGAGGGCUCCAAAUGUGAUUAUUAGAUCAACACCUAGCUCUGAUUUUGGGAGCAGCGUUGUACCUGAUUUCCAUGCUAAGAAGAAAAACAGUCUAAAACAUCAUAGAAAUGUAAAACCACCAUGUCGUACUGCCAAUGAGCAUACUCUGGGAGGUAAAACCUUGUUGCGAAAUGUGUCUUUUUUUGCCGCUUGACAUGAUAGUUUUAAUGAUUUCCGAUGUCUCACCUUAUCUGCAGUUAGAAGGGAGACUAAACUGUUCUGACUUGGACUGAAUAUUUGGACUUAAUAUCUUACAAAUGGCUUGUUAUGGUGACUUGCAGUAAUUAGUAUAUGCUAAAUUGAAAACAACAUACUCCCUCUGUUUCACUGUAUCUGUCCUCAGCCGCCAUGCACAUGGACCUAUAAAAUAAUCAACUAGGUUCAAAAUAAACCAUUGUUUCCCUGAUCAAAGUAAGGGAACAUAUUCAAUCUACAUGCUACUUCGCUGCACAUUUACUAUACCAACUUCAGUACAUGCAUAGAUUCAUCUUAACUGGUUCUUCAUGCAGAUGAAAUCAUCAAUUCUUCAUGCAUUCUUUUGCGCUAUAGUAGUGCAGUAUUAAACGAAUUUUGUCUGGCACUUUAAGUAGCCUCAUAGGUGCAGAUGUGCUGUAGACCAAAUGCCCCUUUUGCAUGGAACAUGGCUUCUUGAAGUGGGAGAUGAUUGGAAACACAAAUAGUCGGCUAUUGUUAGGGGUAUAAGAGGGAAAAUGAUACAGUACCAAAAUACUCGCUCCGUCUCAUGAAAGUUGUCUUAGAUUUGUCAAAAUUUGGAUGUAUCUAGACACUAUUCAGUAUGUAGAUACAUCUAAAUUUAAAUCUCAGACAAGUUUCAUCAGACGGAGGGAGUACAUGGUUUUAAUGCAUGGACAGAUAUAUUGAAACAGAGUUUCCCAGGGCAAUAUUUUUCUUCUAUAUUAAUGUAUAUACAUAAAGCACUCCUGUACAGUCCUGGAAGAAAAAGUUCCCCGAGACCGAGGACACAUAGUGGAACAUAGGGAAUAGUUAGACAUGCUGCAGUUUGACGAAAGCUGGGAAGGUGCUAACAUGUCUUCAGUACAAAAGCUGAAGUACAGACUGUGUAAAACAGUACUUAUGAUUGUUUGAUCUUAGGAUUCUUUAACCUUCUUAGGUUCUAAAUGCUUCUUCAUUGCUUGAACUUGAAAGGCUCUACCUUUUAUAGUACACAUAUUUGUUCUAGGAUUGUAAAACAUUACUUAUACAUGGCAAGGCAUUGUUUGGACUUGAAAAAGGCUCUACCUUUUAUAGUGCAAAUAUUUGUUUCUGUUAUAUGGUUAUGCCCUUGUCAACGUGUUAUAACUAGUGAUCCAAACAAUGUAUAUUUUUAAACCGGAUUCAACAAAUGAAUAUUUGAGAUUUCUGCUUAUGACCAAAGCCAAAAGUGUUGCGGUGGAACAUCUAAAAGGUUGGUUAGCAGUUGCCAAUUGGCGUGCCUAGCACAUUUGUAUAAGGGAUCUUGCAUUGAUCCAUGAAGCACUUCUACAAACAAAAUCACGAGCUCUCCUCUUGGAUACCAAUAACAUGAAUGGAUUGUAAAUGCUUCAUAAUGAUAUAAAGCAGAAUAGAGACCACUUCCUUCAAAGACGGAAGCUCUGAAGGUAUUGAAGUUUCUAGCUUUGAGGGGAAUCUUGUCAGCUGAAAAAAUAAAUGAGGACACUCUAUGUGCUGGAAUGGGAAGGUUGACCAAGGGUAGAUGCAUGACUAGGCUGGCUGCAUGCAUGUCAUGAAGUAUCCUGACAUGAGCAACAGAAGCGUGUCCUUCAGGUUUCCUUAACAAGGAUUGAGCAAACUGCUUCUGAAUCUAUAUGCAUUCUUGUGAUAUUAUUCUUGGCCUAUUGAUAUUGCCAAUAAUGGCACAGGUUUUCGAUAGCUUUCACACAACUGUUAUGUUAUUUUCAAAGCUUUUGCUUCGGAAGAUGUCUGACAUGAUUUGUACCUCUGCCUACUUGCACUUUGUGAAGCUUUGUUUGCAUAAAACUUAAUUACCUUUUUAUUGUUGCAGCUUCAGGGAGUCGAUGUUUGAAGUUGACCCGGUAUAGUGACAAACAUGUGAUGGAUGAGGCGAGAGUUUGUUCCGCCAGUGGGAUCGACGCUGGACGGAGCAGCAGAUUAUCGUGGUGUUGGUGAAGGGGUGGAGUGAUGCGGCCCUGAUUCAGCGGCAGCAGGCCGGGCUCGUGCCCUGAUUACGGAGCAAGUUUUUGUGGAGGGUAGGCGAAGAGGGCGCGCGGUCACGGGUGGCAUUCGAGGAGGACGGCCUAGAUCAUGGUGAAUUAUGUUUGAUAGCGUGCCUGAUGUAGUCAGGGUAUCCUCUAUGCAGUUUUGAUCAUUCCAACUGGAUGACUGGAUGUACGUGGCAUGA
Long non-coding RNA from Lolium rigidum, 4783 nucleotides. RefSeq lists it as uncharacterized. The record is from RefSeq and is a predicted model, not a curated record. NCBI's taxonomy places the organism in Eukaryota, Viridiplantae, Streptophyta, Magnoliopsida, Poales, Poaceae. The transcript has 8 exons.